Non-coding RNA from Ciona savignyi (Pacific transparent sea squirt), 83 nucleotides. Lineage: Eukaryota; Metazoa; Chordata; Ascidiacea; Phlebobranchia; Cionidae. The record is from Rfam.
UCUGGGUUGGCCGAGUGGUUAAGGCGUUGGACUUAAGUUCCAAUGGACAAGUGUCCGCGUGGGUUCGAACCCCACACCCAGUA